CGCCUUGCCAGCCCGCUCAGAAACUUAAAGGAAGUUGACGGGGCCCGGCACAAGCGGUGGAGCAUGUGGUUUAAUUCGAUGAUACGCGAGGAACUUACCUGGGCUCAAAUGUAUGUUGACGUAUUCUGAAAGGGAUACUUCUUCGGACAAUAUACAAGGUGCUGCAUGGUUGUCGUCAGCUCGUGCCGUGAGGUGUCGGGUUAAGUCCCAUAACGAGCGCAACCCCUAUCAUUAGUUGCCAUCAGGUCAAGCUGGGGACUCUAAUGAAACUGCCUACGCAAGUAGUGAGGAAGGUGGGGAUGACGUCAAAUCAGCACGGCCCUUACGUCCAGGGCUACACACGUGCUACAAUGGCCGGUACAAAGGGCAGCUACCUGGUGACAGGAUGCUAAUCUCAAAAGCCGGUCUCAGUUCGGAUCGGAGUCUGCAACUCGACUGCGUGAAGUCGGAAUCGCUAGUAAUCGUGAAUCAGAAUGUCACGGUGAAUACGUUCCCGGGCCUU
This 502-nucleotide ribosomal RNA is filed under the name uncultured Sphingobacteriales bacterium. RNAcentral describes it as "bacterial SSU rRNA". It matches the Rfam family "Bacterial small subunit ribosomal RNA", at positions 903 to 1382 of the family's 1533-position model. Lineage: Bacteria; Pseudomonadati; Bacteroidota; Sphingobacteriia; Sphingobacteriales. The record is from RNAcentral.